GUCGAGAAUAAUUCACAAUGGGGGAAACCCUGAUGGUGCAACGCCGCGUGGAGGAUGAAGGUCUUCGGAUUGUAAACUCCUGUCAUCCGGGAGCAAGACCUGGGCGUGAAUAGCGCACAGGGUUGAUAGUACCCGAAGAGGAAGGGACGGCUAACUUCGUGCCAGCAGCCGCGGUAAUACGAAGGUCCCAAGCGUUGUUCGGAAUCACUGGGCGUAAAGGGAGCGUAGGCGGCGUGGUAAGUCAGAGGUGAAAUCCCGGGGCUCAACCCCGGAACUGCAUCCGAUACUGCCAUGCUUGAGGGUUGGAGAGGUAGCUGGAAUUCUCGGUGUAGCAGUGAAAUGCGUGGAUAUCGAGAGGAACACUCGUGGCGAAGGCGAGCUACUGGACAACAUCUGACGCUGAGGCUCGAAGGCCAGGGGAGCAAAAGGGAUUAGAAACCCGGGUAGUCC
RNAcentral lists this ribosomal RNA (450 nucleotides) under uncultured bacterium. RNAcentral's name for it is "partial 16S ribosomal RNA". It matches the Rfam family "Bacterial small subunit ribosomal RNA", at positions 354 to 796 of the family's 1533-position model. The record is from RNAcentral.